CCUACGGGGGGCAGCAGUGGGGAAUAUUGCACAAUGGGCGCAAGCCUGAUGCAGCCAUGCCGCGUGUGUGAAGAAGGCCUUCGGGUUGUAAGCACUUUCAGCGGGGAGGAAGGCGGUGAGGUUAAUAACCUCAUCGAUUGACGUUACCCGCAGAAGAAGCACCGGCUAACUCCGUGCCAGCAGCCGCGGUAAUACGGAGGGUGCAAGCGUUAAUCGGAAUUACUGGGCGUAAAGCGCACGCAGGCGGUCUGUCAAGUCGGAUGUGAAAUCCCCGGGCUCAACCUGGGAACUGCAUUCGAAACUGGCAGGCUAGAGUCUUGUAGAGGGGGGUAGAAUUCCAGGUGUAGCGGUGAAAUGCGUAGAGAUCUGGAGGAAUACCGGUGGCGAAGGCGGCCCCCUGGACAAAGACUGACGCUCAGGUGCGAAAGCGUGGGGAGCAAACAGGAUUAGAUACCCUUGUAGUC
This 464-nucleotide ribosomal RNA is filed under the name uncultured Klebsiella sp. RNAcentral's name for it is "bacterial SSU rRNA". It matches the Rfam family "Bacterial small subunit ribosomal RNA", at positions 338 to 795 of the family's 1533-position model. The record is from RNAcentral. Lineage: Bacteria; Pseudomonadati; Pseudomonadota; Gammaproteobacteria; Enterobacterales; Enterobacteriaceae.